CCUACGGGUGGCUGCAGUCGGGAAUUUUGGGCAAUGGGGGAAACCCUGACCCAGCAACGCCGCGUGAAGGAUGAAGUAUUUCGGUAUGUAAACUUCGAAAGAAUAGGAAGAAUAAAUGACGGUACUAUUUAUAAGGUCCGGCUAACUACGUGCCAGCAGCCGCGGUAAUACGUAGGGACCAAGCGUUGUUCGGAUUUACUGGGCGUAAAGGGCGCGUAGGCGGCAUGACAAGUCACUUGUGAAAUUUCCGGGCUUAACUCGGAGCGGCCAAGUGA
RNAcentral lists this ribosomal RNA (275 nucleotides) under uncultured bacterium. Its description in RNAcentral is "partial 16S ribosomal RNA". It matches the Rfam family "Bacterial small subunit ribosomal RNA", at positions 338 to 630 of the family's 1533-position model. The record is from RNAcentral.